UUUACUUGUUACAGCAGCAAGACAAGUAAAGAGAACAGUGUAAAGAAAGCAUAGUGUCUACAACAUGGUUCAGGUGGUGCAGGUGUUGUAGAGCCUGACAGCGGUCGGUAUGAAGGACCUGCGGAACCUCUCCUUCUUACACCGUGGGUCUAACAGUCUGGUGCUGAAGGAGCUGCCCAGGGAAACAACAGUGUCAUGUAGCGGGUGAGAGGUGUUGUUCAUGAUGGAUGUCAGCUUAGCCAACAAUUGGAUGCUAAGUGCUAUGAUCUUCUGGCAAGCCACGCUAUUAUUGCUGCCUUAUUACAUUUGGGUCCAUGAUUGUGCUUUAGAGCUCCUUAUAAAAAAAAAAAAGUCUGCUACGGUAUUUUACAACAGCUAAGUAUCCCAAAUUAGUCACUUAUUUUGUUAUUUGUUUUUAUUGCAAUUGCGAAAGUGAUGAUAUUGCCAAAGAAUACAAAAGCUGGCACACAAAAGCUUCGCAAUUAGAGCAAUCUCAUCAAACGAGAUAAGAAGCUUUGGUGCCGCUGCCUGCUCCACAUUAAUUUAGCUUCCUUCAGUGAAAAAUGUGUUUAUCUUGCUCUUUGUUUACAAUGUGGAGUGGCGCACAUUCUGUCUGUGAGCCUUUAAAAAUGAUUUGUAUUGUCAGAUACAUGAGUUGUCCAUUUGAUCAAAUUGUGAACUCUGGAUUACUCCUUAUUGACUUCCGGAAAUCUCCUAACGCAAAGUGCCACAAAUACAGCCACUCGUUCACUCACCCCAGGACGUUUCCAUUGUACAAUACCAGGUGGUGCUUUCCGAAAAUACAGGGAUGAAUCUGUGGCUGGAAACUCUGAAUCCUCAAAGAGUUUUUUACUCUUGAUGCAGUCCUUCUUGAGCUCAGCGUAAUGCUGGUUCUUGUAGGGGGUCGCAGAGGAGAACAUGGUCCACUGCUAGAAGACUCGCAACUGCAAAGAUGGGCGAUGGACACGUUUGCGUUUAUUUGGAAUGCAUUUCCACUCGGCAACUGUCCUGAAACUUACCUGCGUUCUACUGCUGAUUACUAAAGAACGGAAAAAGGUCACAUUCACCAGUUGAUGCCAUAACAUGAGGAUACAUGAGGACCACGCCCCAUACAAGCCUACAUUGAAUUGUGGGUGAAAUGAAAUGAGCAAAGACUGCAGGUUAAGGCAAUGGAUUUGAGGUUAAGCGGCAUAGAAGAUGGAUGGCAAUGGAUUUGGCUGUCAAGACAAGGAGACAUGGCUGCUUAGAGUAGGACUACUGCCACUGAAGGACACAGCUCACCGAAAGAGAGAGAGCCGACGUUUUAACGGAAUUAGGAUGCUGUUCAAUUCUGAUACGGAUUCACAGAGCGUUGGAUUGUUCACCCACUAAUAGGGAACGUGAGCUGGGAUUAGACCGUCGUGACACAGGUUAGUUUCACCCUGUUGAUGUGAUGUGUGAAACUUUUUUUUGUUGUGGUUUUAAAAUCUGUGUAACGUCUUUCUGUGCACCAAAUUUUUACAUUUUUCUAUAUUUCUGAGAUAUGAGCAUGGUUGCUGUGUGAUAAGUUUAAUGUUGGCAAGAUGACACCGUGAGUCAAACGGUUAUAUUGAGUGAUGACCUCCUGCAAUUUCC
This is a long non-coding RNA of Dunckerocampus dactyliophorus (ringed pipefish), 1614 nucleotides long. RefSeq lists it as uncharacterized. The transcript has 4 exons. The record is from RefSeq and is a predicted model, not a curated record. Lineage: Eukaryota; Metazoa; Chordata; Actinopteri; Syngnathiformes; Syngnathidae.